RNAcentral lists this ribosomal RNA (685 nucleotides) under Kitasatospora sp. PanVB10. RNAcentral describes it as "bacterial SSU rRNA". It matches the Rfam family "Bacterial small subunit ribosomal RNA", at positions 98 to 797 of the family's 1533-position model. Lineage: Bacteria; Bacillati; Actinomycetota; Actinomycetes; Kitasatosporales; Streptomycetaceae. The record is from RNAcentral. RNAcentral also lists the same sequence under 5 other names.
GCGAACGGGUGAGUAACACGUGGGCAAUCUGCCCUGCACUCUGGGACAAGCCCUGGAAACGGGGUCUAAUACCGGAUACGACCUUCCCCUGCAUGGGGGUUGGUGGAAAGCUCCGGCGGUGCAGGAUGAGCCCGCGGCCUAUCAGCUUGUUGGUGGGGUAAUGGCCUACCAAGGCGACGACGGGUAGCCGGCCUGAGAGGGCGACCGGCCACACUGGGACUGAGACACGGCCCAGACUCCUACGGGAGGCAGCAGUGGGGAAUAUUGCACAAUGGGCGAAAGCCUGAUGCAGCGACGCCGCGUGAGGGAUGACGGCCUUCGGGUUGUAAACCUCUUUCAGCAGGGAAGAAGCGCAAGUGACGGUACCUGCAGAAGAAGCACCGGCUAACUACGUGCCAGCAGCCGCGGUAAUACGUAGGGUGCGAGCGUUGUCCGGAAUUAUUGGGCGUAAAGAGCUCGUAGGCGGCCUGUCGCGUCGGAUGUGAAAGCCCGGGGCUUAACCCCGGGUCUGCAUUCGAUACGGGCAGGCUAGAGUGUGGUAGGGGAGAUCGGAAUUCCUGGUGUAGCGGUGAAAUGCGCAGAUAUCAGGAGGAACACCGGUGGCGAAGGCGGAUCUCUGGGCCAUUACUGACGCUGAGGAGCGAAAGCGUGGGGAGCGAACAGGAUUAGAUACCCUGGUAGUCCA